AGUGAACGCUGGCGGUAGGCCUAACACAUGCAAGUCGAACGGCAGCACAGUAAGAGCUUGCUCUUACGGGUGGCGAGUGGCGGACGGGUGCGGAAUACAUCGGAAUCUACUUUUUCGUGGGGGAUAACGUAGGGAAACUUACGCUAAUACCGCAUACGACCUACGGGUGAAAGCAUGGGAUCUUCGGACCUUGCGCGAUUCAAUGAGCCGAUGUCGGAUUAGCUAGUUGGCGGGGUAAAGGCCCACCAAGGCGACGAUCCGUAGCUGGUCUGAGAGGAUGAUCAGCCACACUGGAACUGAGACACGGUCCAGACUCCUACGGGAGGCAGCAGUGGGGAAUAUUGGACAAUGGGCGAAAGCCUGAUCCAGCCAUGCCGCGUGGGUGAAGAAGGCCUUCGGGUUGUAAAGCCCUUUUGUUGGGAAAGAAAAGCAGCAGGUUAAUACCCCGCUGUUCUGACGGUACCCAAAGAAUAAGCACCGGCUAACUUCGUG
Molecule: ribosomal RNA, 492 nt
Filed under: uncultured bacterium
Lineage: Bacteria
Description: partial 16S ribosomal RNA
Rfam family: Bacterial small subunit ribosomal RNA
Source: RNAcentral